RNAcentral lists this ribosomal RNA (301 nucleotides) under uncultured bacterium. Its description in RNAcentral is "partial 16S ribosomal RNA". It matches the Rfam family "Bacterial small subunit ribosomal RNA", at positions 509 to 807 of the family's 1533-position model. The record is from RNAcentral.
CAGUCGCCGCGGUAAUACGAAGGGGGCUAGCGUUGUUCGGAUUUACUGGGCGUAAAGGGCGCGUAGGCGGAUUUGUAAGUCAGGGGUGAAAUCCCACAGCUCAACUGUGGAACUGCCUUUGAUACUGUGGAUCUUGAGUCCGGGAGAGGUGAGUGGAACUGCGAGUGUAGAGGUGAAAUUCGUAGAUAUUCGCAAGAACACCAGUGGCGAAGGCGGCUCACUGGCCCGGAACUGACGCUGAGGCGCGAAAGCGUGGGGAGCAAACAGGAUUAGAUACCCGAGUAGUCCCUGUCUCUUAUAC